Carassius auratus (goldfish) is the source of this 1745-nucleotide long non-coding RNA. The record is from Ensembl. Lineage: Eukaryota; Metazoa; Chordata; Actinopteri; Cypriniformes; Cyprinidae.
AAUUUAGAAUAGCUGUAAACAAUAAUUAUUUCUGUGAUCAAAGUGGAAUUUUCUGCAUAAUUACUCUGAUUCUAACAUGCUUAUUUGCUCGAAUAAAUUUUUUUCUGAUUAGUAUCACUGUUGAAAACAGUUGUGCUGCUUGAUAUUUUUGUGGAAAAUGUGAAACAUCACCAUCUGGUCAAUACUUUUAUUCAACAAGGUUGUUUCAAGGAUCAUGUGACACUGAAGACUGGAGUAAAGAUUCUGAAAAUUCAGCUUUGAUCAGAAAAAAAAACAAACAUUUAAACAUUAAACCAUUUACAUGAAAAUAUCUUUAAUAUAAAAAUAUAACUUUUCUAAUUACGGUACUUGAAAGCAAAAGUCUUCAGAUUUCCAUAUGUUCUAGAGCAGUGGUUCCCACCCCUUUUCAGCUCGCGGCCCACACAACCACACACAUAUGUUUGCGUGGCCCACUUCAAAAACUGACCCCGCUAUUGUUGGGUUAAUAACUUAGUACUCAGAAGCUAGAUUGUUAACUGUAUUUAUUGAAUGAACUAGGGCUGUGCGAUAUGGACAAAUUUUAUUUUUGUGAUUUCUUUGAUUAAUUUUGCAAUUGUGACACACACCGAUAUGCUUUUACAGUCUUUUGAAACAUUUUCCAAAAGAAAACCAAUUAGAGUUGAUCAAAAAAUUGUAACGUCUCUAGAACAGACCAGAGCCAUAUAGAGUGAGAGUUGCGACAACUCCAUUGACUCCAAUGGAACGUUUUUUUUACAGCAAUGGCGGCUCGUGGAGCCUCUAAAUAGUUCCCGGAUGCCGCGCCGUAGAGAUGCAGCAGAACAAACCGUUCGCGACGCACUUUUAACAGGUCUAGGGGUGCAUUGUGGAGCAGGGCGCUCCUCUUUUUGACCACAGGACAAUGUACAAAGAUUGUGGGAAUAGCAUCUGACCUCAGCCUACUCUUGAAUUUUUUGGUCAUGACAAAUUGCUUUGCCACAAUUUGUCUGCAUACUGACUUCAGUUUAGUUUCCACACACACCUUUUUUUUUGUCUACCCACACACAGUACAUAUCACAUGGUGGUUAAAUGCACAGUUAUAGGUAACACUGAUGACUCCCUGCAAUGUCUCACCAUGAGUCUCAGCUCCCUGGGUUUUGCAAGGCUUUGCUUGUUCCUUAUUUCUAGUAAAACAUUGUCAAUGUAAAAAAGUGCUAAUAAAUUUAAGUAUAAUUACCUAACAAUUUUUUGUUGUUGUAAUUUUUAUUUGUAUUUAGAUUGCUCCUGCUGACUUGAGCCAACCAUUAUUUUCUCCUCUCUAUGUCAGCGGGGAAGCCAUACAUUCGCACACCUUUCUCUGACUGAGUGGAGCAUCCCCAUGCAGCACAGUAAACCACGGUGGAGACUAUGCAAGGACAACAUUAAAGAAAGGACACAUACAAAAUGCUUGUCAUGCUAUUAAAUUUAUUAUAAAUGUAUUCAUGAAUUGCUGUAAAUAGUUAAUUGUAUAAUUACAAUUUAAAAUAACUGUUUUCUAUUUUAAAAUGUAAUAUACUCCUGUGAUGCCAACCUGAAUUUUCAGCAUUCAUUACUUUUGAAUGGCAGUGUACAUGUUUAUAUACGAGUAUGCUUAAGUUGUUUUAAACCUGAAUAUAUUGUGUACAUGAAUAAGUAUUGUAAGAAUUAUACUAGAUAUAAUAGGUAUAUUAUUUAUAAUACAUAAUUAUAUUACUAUAUGUAAUUGUAAGAAUUAUAAAUUAUAAGCUUCA